Molecule: ribosomal RNA, 468 nt
Filed under: uncultured bacterium
Lineage: Bacteria
Description: partial 16S ribosomal RNA
Rfam family: Bacterial small subunit ribosomal RNA
Source: RNAcentral
GACGAACGCUGGCGGCGUGCUUAACACAUGCAAGUCGAACGGUGAGGCCCUGCUUUUGUGGGGUUCUCGAGUGGCGAAAGGGUGAGUAACACGUGAGUGACCUGCGCUUUACUUUGGGAUAACUUCAUUAAACUGGAGCUAAUACCGGAUAUGAGCUCCUUCUGCAUGGUGGGGGUUGGAAAGUUUCGGCGGUUGGGGAUGGACUCGCGGCUUAUCAGCGUGUUGGUGGGGUAGUGGCUUACCAAGGCUUUGACGGGUAGCCGGCCUGAGAGGGUGACCGGCCACAUUGGGACUGAGAUACCGCCCGUACUGCUACUGCGGGAAUCAGUGGGGAAUAUUGCAAGCUGGGCGGAAGCAUGAAGCAGCAACGCCGCGUGCUAGAUCACUGCUUUCGGGUUGUAACCCUCUUUCGCGUGUGACGAAGCGUGAGUGACGGUAAUGGGUAAAGAAGCAACGGCUAACUACGUG